UGGGGAAUUUUCCGCAAUGGGCGCAAGCCUGACGGAGCAACGCCGCGUGAGGGAGGAAGGCCUGUGGGUUGUAAACUUCUUUUCUCUAGGAAGAAGGACUGACGGUACUAGAGGAAUCAGCAUCGGCUAACUCCGUGCCAGCAGCCGCGGUAAGACGGAGGAUGCAAGCGUUAUCCGGAAUUAUUGGGCGUAAAGCGUCCGUAGGCGGUUAUUCAAGUCUGCUGUUAAAGACCACAGCUCAACUGUGGGCAGGCGGUGGAAACUGAGUAACUAGAGUUCGGUAGGGGUAGAGGGAAUUCCCAGUGUAGCGGUGAAAUGCGUAGAUAUUGGGAAGAACACCAGUGGCGAAGGCGCUCUACUGGGCCGAGACUGACGCUGAUGGACGAAAGCUAGGGGAGCGAAAGGGAUUAGAUACCCCCGUAGUCC
Molecule: ribosomal RNA, 426 nt
Filed under: uncultured prokaryote
Description: bacterial SSU rRNA
Rfam family: Bacterial small subunit ribosomal RNA
Source: RNAcentral